UCUGGCAUCUGUGCUUCCCAAACAGUCACCCUUAUGCCAUCUGGUCCUCUGCCCUAUUGAAACCAGAUCUCAGAGGUCCUCGUGAUUCUGGAACAAAAGAGAUUCAUAAGAGAUUAUUUAAGUCUAAGAAAUGCAUCGGAGAAUGAAUGGCUGCUACAGAAGAAGGACUGGCUCUCUCUCCCGUGCACGACUGCGGAACUGGGGUUCAAGAACAUUCUCGUGAAUUUCAGGCAGAUAGUAGCCUGGACACAUCGCCACCGGGAAGAAAUGUAGAGCGGAAGGCCCAUCAAUGUAUUAGCACAAAACACUUUCCAGUCCAUGUCGGUGACCAAAAAGGAACAGAGGGACAAGACCACACAGGGAGGCAUUCUGGAGGACCCAGGACACAAGAGCUCCGCUCUCUGUUUAGGAGUCUCCCCAAACCCUCGAUGCUAAAUCACAGGUUCCAUCUGCAUGGCUCAUCAAAAGAUCGCAAAUUUCAGCUCUUCCCCCAGGUUCCUGACGAGAACAUUCAACCAGAAAUAAGGCCGCUGGCAAUGUGAUUCAGGCUUCACUGGAUUCUUAAGGUUGUUUCCCAGGGAUAUUUAUAAGAGAAAUGUAAUGUUGGAAAGAAAAAUGUGUUGUGAAUGGAUGGCAGUUCUUUCUGGCCCCAGAUCUUUAUUAAGGCAAAAACACUGCAGCAGCAGAGAAUU
This 692-nucleotide long non-coding RNA is filed under the name Capra hircus (goat). RNAcentral describes it as "lncRNA (ENSCHIG00000006889.1)". Lineage: Eukaryota; Metazoa; Chordata; Mammalia; Artiodactyla; Bovidae. The record is from RNAcentral.